UAGGGAAUCUUCGGCAAUGGGGGGAACCCUGACCGAGCAACGCCGCGUGAGUGAAGAAGGUUUUCGGAUCGUAAAGCUCUGUUGUUAAGGAAGAACGAGUGUGAGAAUGGAAAGUUCAUGCUGUGACGGUACUUAACCAGAAAGGGACGGCUAACUACGUGCCAGCAGCCGCGGUAAUACGUAGGUCCCGAGCGUUGUCCGGGUUUAUUGGGCGUAAAGCGAGCGCAGGCGGUCAAUUAAGUCUGAUGUGAAAGCCCCCGGCUCAACCGGGGAGGGUCAUUGGAAACUGAUUGAAUUGAGUGCAGAAGAGGAGAGUGGAAUUCCAUGUGUAGCGGUGAAAUGCGUAGAUAUAUGGGGGAACACCAGUGGCGAAGGCGACUCUCUGGUCUGUAACUGACGCUGAGGCUCGAAAGCGUGGGUAGCAAACAGG
This 430-nucleotide ribosomal RNA is filed under the name Bacteroidota bacterium. RNAcentral's name for it is "Bacteroidetes bacterium partial 16S ribosomal RNA". It matches the Rfam family "Bacterial small subunit ribosomal RNA", at positions 355 to 776 of the family's 1533-position model. The record is from RNAcentral. Lineage: Bacteria; Pseudomonadati; Bacteroidota.